UUUCCGUAGGUGUACCUGCGGAAGGAUCAUUAAUGAGUCUUUGAAGUGGGUUUGAUGCUGGUCUUUCGAGGCAUGUGCUCGCCCUAUUCUCAUCCACUCACACCUGUGCACCUUACGUUUAAGAAGUGGUUGUUGCCUCCCUUCGGGUUGGCAAGUUAGGGAAACCUAGCUAUGGCCCUUCUUUGCGUUACUGUACACAAACUCUUGAAUGUCAUAGAAUGUAUAUUGGCCUACGGGCUUUAAUUUAAACACAACUUUCAACAACGGAUCUCUUGGCUCUC
This 281-nucleotide unclassified non-coding RNA is filed under the name plant metagenome. RNAcentral describes it as "partial contains small subunit ribosomal RNA, internal transcribed spacer 1, and 5.8S ribosomal RNA". The record is from RNAcentral.